ACUGCUGCCUCCCGUAGGAGUCUGGGCCGUGUCUCAGUCCCAGUGUGGCUGAUCAUCCUCUCAGACCAGCUACAGAUCGUCGCCUUGGUGAGCCGUUACCUCACCAACUAGCUAAUCUGACGCGAGCUCAUCUUCAGGCAAAAUUCGUUUCACCUCUCGGCAUAUGGGGUAUUAGCGACCGUUUCCAGUCGUUAUCCCCCUCCUGAAGGCAGAUCCUCACGCGUUACUCACCCGUCC
Molecule: ribosomal RNA, 237 nt
Filed under: uncultured bacterium US10
Lineage: Bacteria
Description: partial 16S ribosomal RNA
Source: RNAcentral